CAGCAGCCGCCACGGGAAUACGAAGGGUGCAAGCGUUAAUCGGAAUUACUGGGCGUAAAGUGUGCGCAGGCGGUUUUGUAAGACAGGCGUGAAAUCCCCGGGCUUAACCUGGGAACUGCGCUUGUGACUGCACAGCUAGGGUAUGGCAGAGGGGGGUGGAAUUCCGCGUGUAGCAGUGAAAUGCGUAGAUAUGCGGAGGAACACCGAUGGCGAAGGCAGCCCCCUGGGCCAACACUGACGCUCAUGCACGAAAGCGUGGGGAGCAAACAGGAUUAGAUACCCCCGUAGUCCCUGUCUCUUAUAC
Molecule: ribosomal RNA, 304 nt
Filed under: uncultured bacterium
Lineage: Bacteria
Description: partial 16S ribosomal RNA
Rfam family: Bacterial small subunit ribosomal RNA
Source: RNAcentral